AUUGAACGCUGGCGGCAGGCCUAACACAUGCAAGUCGAGCGGAUGAAGGGAGCUUGCUCCUGGAUUCAGCGGCGGACGGGUGAGUAAUGCCUAGGAAUCUGCCUGGUAGUGGGGGAUAACGUCCGGAAACGGGCGCUAAUACCGCAUACGUCCUGAGGGAGAAAGUGGGGGAUCUUCGGACCUCACGCUAUCAGAUGAGCCUAGGUCGGAUUAGCUAGUUGGUGGGGUAAAGGCCUACCAAGGCGACGAUCCGUAACUGGUCUGAGAGGAUGAUCAGUCACACUGGAGCUGAGACACGGUCCAGACUCCGACGGGAGGCAGCAGUGGGGAAUAUUGGACAAUGGGCGAAAGCCUGAUCCAGCCAUGCCGCGUGUGUGAAGAAGGUCUGCGGAUUGUAAAGCACUUUAAGUUGGGAGGAAGGGCAGUAAGUUAAGACCUUGCUGUUUUGACGUUACCAACAGAAUAAGCACCGGCUAACUUCGG
This 483-nucleotide ribosomal RNA is filed under the name uncultured bacterium. Its description in RNAcentral is "partial 16S ribosomal RNA". It matches the Rfam family "Bacterial small subunit ribosomal RNA", at positions 30 to 506 of the family's 1533-position model. The record is from RNAcentral.